UAAGUAGAUCGGGUGACCGCUCGCCUCUGGCGGGAGGAAAGUCCGAGCUCCACCGGGCAGGAUGCUGGGUAACACCCAGGAGGGGCGACCCUACGGAAAGUGCCACAGAAACACACCGCCAGCGGCCAGUGCAUGCAACUGGUGCGGGCAAGGGUGAAAUGGUGAGGUAAGAGCUCACCAGCGGCUGGGUGACCAGCCGGCUGGGCAAACCCCAUCCGGAGCAAGGCCAAAUAGGAGGACGCUUGAGGUGCCCGGCCGAUGUCCUCGGGUUGGCCGCUUGACCUCAAUGGUAACAUUGAGGCCAGACUGAUGGUCACCGCCCCGAGCUGGGCAACUGGUUCGGGGUACAGAACUCGGCUUACAGAUCUACUUAGCCC
This 377-nucleotide RNase P RNA is filed under the name Chloroflexota bacterium. Its description in RNAcentral is "Chloroflexi bacterium (hot springs metagenome) RNase P RNA component class A". It matches the Rfam family "Bacterial RNase P class A". Rfam says of the family: Ribonuclease P (RNase P) is a ubiquitous endoribonuclease, found in archaea, bacteria and eukarya as well as chloroplasts and mitochondria. Its best characterised activity is the generation of mature 5'-ends of tRNAs by cleaving the 5'-leader elements of precursor-tRNAs. Cellular RNase Ps are ribonucleoproteins. Lineage: Bacteria; Bacillati; Chloroflexota. The record is from RNAcentral.